CUUAUUCCGUAUCCGUUUCGUAAAAAUAUAUUUUUCGAGAUAUUUUCCUUUCGAAUAACGCGGUUAAUUUGUUUUCGUCACGUUCAGCGGAUGCCCGUGCCGCUAAAGUAUUGAGUUAUUAAUGAGGCCUUACAAGGUGGUCUUAGGCAAUCAGAUUUUUGUUCUUCGCGAUAACGUUUAAGACUUGAAUUUAAUUAAUGAAAAAUAGCGUUGAGCUGUUGACAAACGACAUUCAAGUUAAUAGUACGAGUAUUAUAAUGAUUUUUAUCGAAUCAAAUAAACGAAAUCGAAUUUAAUGAACUCUAAUUUCUCCGUUCUUCUCCCUUCGGAUUUUUCAAUUUUUAAUACACCAAUGCGGCAAAUUGU
This is a non-coding RNA of Cinara cedri, 366 nucleotides long. NCBI's taxonomy places the organism in Eukaryota, Metazoa, Arthropoda, Insecta, Hemiptera, Aphididae. The record is from the annotation of a GenBank genome assembly.